GGACUAUUAGUUCAGAUGGAUAGAGCAUGAAAUUUCUAAUUUCAGGGUCACAAGUUAGAAUCUUGUAUAGUCCG
Molecule: transfer RNA, 74 nt
Filed under: Candidatus Omnitrophota bacterium
Lineage: Bacteria; Pseudomonadati; Candidatus Omnitrophota
Description: tRNA-Arg
Rfam family: tRNA
About the family: Transfer RNA (tRNA) molecules are approximately 80 nucleotides in length.
Source: RNAcentral